RNAcentral lists this ribosomal RNA (2936 nucleotides) under Yersinia frederiksenii. RNAcentral describes it as "bacterial LSU rRNA". It matches the Rfam family "Bacterial large subunit ribosomal RNA". Lineage: Bacteria; Pseudomonadati; Pseudomonadota; Gammaproteobacteria; Enterobacterales; Yersiniaceae. The record is from RNAcentral.
GGGUUGUGAGGUUAAGCGACUAAGCGUACACGGUGGAUGCCUAGGCAGUCAGAGGCGAUGAAGGGCGUGCUAAUCUGCGAAAAGCGUCGGUAAGCUGAUAUGAAGCGUAAUAACCGACGAUACCCGAAUGGGGAAACCCAGUGCAAUUCGUUGCACUAUCGUUAGAUGAAUACAUAGUCUAACGAGGCGAACCGGGGGAACUGAAACAUCUAAGUACCCCGAGGAAAAGAAAUCAACCGAGAUUCCCCCAGUAGCGGCGAGCGAACGGGGAGGAGCCCAGAGUCUGAAUCAAGUGGUGUGUUAGUGGAAGCGUCUGGAAAGUCGCACGGUACAGGGUGAUAGUCCCGUACACCAAAACACACUGCCUGUGAACUCGAUGAGUAGGGCGGGACACGUGACAUCCUGUCUGAAUAUGGGGGGACCAUCCUCCAAGGCUAAAUACUCCUGACUGACCGAUAGUGAACCAGUACCGUGAGGGAAAGGCGAAAAGAACCCCGGCGAGGGGAGUGAAAUAGAACCUGAAACCGUGUACGUACAAGCAGUGGGAGCACCUUCGUGGUGUGACUGCGUACCUUUUGUAUAAUGGGUCAGCGACUUAUAUUUUGUAGCAAGGUUAACCGAAUAGGGGAGCCGUAGGGAAACCGAGUCUUAACUGGGCGUCUAGUUGCAAGGUAUAGACCCGAAACCCGGUGAUCUAGCCAUGGGCAGGUUGAAGGUUGGGUAACACUAACUGGAGGACCGAACCGACUAAUGUUGAAAAAUUAGCGGAUGACUUGUGGCUGGGGGUGAAAGGCCAAUCAAACCGGGAGAUAGCUGGUUCUCCCCGAAAGCUAUUUAGGUAGCGCCUCGUGAACUCAUCUUCGGGGGUAGAGCACUGUUUCGGCUAGGGGGCCAUCCCGGCUUACCAAACCGAUGCAAACUCCGAAUACCGAAGAAUGUUAUCACGGGAGACACACGGCGGGUGCUAACGUCCGUCGUGAAGAGGGAAACAACCCAGACCGCCAGCUAAGGUCCCAAAGUCAUGGUUAAGUGGGAAACGAUGUGGGAAGGCAUAGACAGCCAGGAUGUUGGCUUAGAAGCAGCCAUCAUUUAAAGAAAGCGUAAUAGCUCACUGGUCGAGUCGGCCUGCGCGGAAGAUGUAACGGGGCUAAACCAUGCACCGAAGCUGCGGCAGCGACGCUUAGGCGUUGUUGGGUAGGGGAGCGUUCUGUAAGCCGUUGAAGGUGGUCUGUGAGGGCUGCUGGAGGUAUCAGAAGUGCGAAUGCUGACAUAAGUAACGAUAAUGCGGGUGAAAAACCCGCACGCCGGAAGACCAAGGGUUCCUGUCCAACGUUAAUCGGGGCAGGGUGAGUCGACCCCUAAGGCGAGGCUGAAAAGCGUAGUCGAUGGGAAACAGGUUAAUAUUCCUGUACUUGGUGUUACUGCGAAGGGGGGACGGAGAAGGCUAGGCUAGCCGGGCGACGGUUGUCCCGGUUUAAGCAUGUAGGCGGAGUGACUUGGUAAAUCCGGUUGCUUAUCAACGCUGAGGUGUGAUGACGAUGCACUACGGUGCAGAAGUAGUUGAUGCCAUGCUUCCAGGAAAAGCCUCUAAGCAUCAGGUAACAUGAAAUCGUACCCCAAACCGACACAGGUGGUCAGGUAGAGAAUACUCAGGCGCUUGAGAGAACUCGGGUGAAGGAACUAGGCAAAAUGGUGCCGUAACUUCGGGAGAAGGCACGCUGGCGCUAGGUGAAGAGACUUGCUCUCGGAGCUGAAGCCAGUCGCAGAUACCAGCUGGCUGCAACUGUUUAAUAAAAACACAGCACUGUGCAAACACGAAAGUGGACGUAUACGGUGUGACGCCUGCCCGGUGCUGGAAGGUUAAUUGAUGGGGUCAGCCGCAAGGCGAAGCUCUUGAUCGAAGCCCCAGUAAACGGCGGCCGUAACUAUAACGGUCCUAAGGUAGCGAAAUUCCUUGUCGGGUAAGUUCCGACCUGCACGAAUGGCGUAAUGAUGGCCAGGCUGUCUCCACCCGAGACUCAGUGAAAUUGAACUCGCUGUGAAGAUGCAGUGUACCCGCGGCAAGACGGAAAGACCCCGUGAACCUUUACUAUAGCUUGACACUGAACAUUGAGCCUUGAUGUGUAGGAUAGGUGGGAGGCAUUGAAGUGUGGACGCCAGUCUGCAUGGAGCCAACCUUGAAAUACCACCCUUUAAUGUUUGAUGUUCUAACUCGGCCCCGUAAUCCGGGGUGAGGACAGUGUCUGGUGGGUAGUUUGACUGGGGCGGUCUCCUCCCAAAGAGUAACGGAGGAGCACGAAGGUUAGCUAAUCACGGUCGGACAUCGUGAGGUUAGUGCAAAGGCAUAAGCUAGCUUGACUGCGAGAGUGACGGCUCGAGCAGGUACGAAAGUAGGUCUUAGUGAUCCGGUGGUUCUGAAUGGAAGGGCCAUCGCUCAACGGAUAAAAGGUACUCCGGGGAUAACAGGCUGAUACCGCCCAAGAGUUCAUAUCGACGGCGGUGUUUGGCACCUCGAUGUCGGCUCAUCACAUCCUGGGGCUGAAGUAGGUCCCAAGGGUAUGGCUGUUCGCCAUUUAAAGUGGUACGCGAGCUGGGUUUAGAACGUCGUGAGACAGUUCGGUCCCUAUCUGCCGUGGGCGUUGGAAGAUUGAGAGGGGCUGCUCCUAGUACGAGAGGACCGGAGUGGACGAAUCACUGGUGUUCGGGUUGUCAUGCCAAUGGCAUUGCCCGGUAGCUAAAUUCGGAAGAGAUAACCGCUGAAAGCAUCUAAGCGGGAAACUUGCCUCGAGAUGAGUCUUCCCUGGGGCUUCAAGCCCCCUGAAGGAACGUUAAAGACGAUGACGUUGAUAGGCUGGGUGUGUAAGUGCAGCGAUGCAUUGAGCUAACCAGUACUAAUGAUCCGUGAGGCUUAACCUUACAACACCAAAGGUGUUUUG